This 388-nucleotide ribosomal RNA is filed under the name uncultured bacterium. RNAcentral's name for it is "bacterial SSU rRNA". It matches the Rfam family "Bacterial small subunit ribosomal RNA", at positions 28 to 417 of the family's 1533-position model. The record is from RNAcentral.
GACGAACGCUGGCGGCGUGCUUAACACAUGCAAGUCGAGCGGUAAGGCCCUUUCGGGGGUACACGAGCGGCGAACGGGUGAGUAACACGUGGGUGACCUGCCCUCAGCUCUGGGAUAAGCCUGGGAAACCGGGUCUAAUACUGGAUAUGACUCCAUGACGCAUGUUGUGGGGUGGAAAGCCUUGUGCGGCUGAGGAUGGGCCCGCGGCCUAUUAGCUUGUUGGUGGGGUGANGGCCUACCAAGGCGACGACGGGUAGCCGGCCUGAGAGGGCGACCGGCCACACUGGGACUGAGACACGGCCCAGACUCCUACGGGAGGCAGCAGUGGGGAAUCUUGCGCAAUGGGCGAAAGCCUGACGCAGCGACGCCGCGUGAGGGAUGACGGCCU